This 206-nucleotide ribosomal RNA is filed under the name uncultured bacterium. Its description in RNAcentral is "partial 16S ribosomal RNA". It matches the Rfam family "Bacterial small subunit ribosomal RNA", at positions 328 to 525 of the family's 1533-position model. The record is from RNAcentral.
GGCCCAGAACUCCUACGGGAGGCAGCAGUGGGGAAUUUUGGACAAUGGGCGCAAGCCUGAUCCAGCCAUUCCGCGUGCAGGAUGAAGGCCCUCGGGUUGUAAACUGCUUUUGUACGGAGCGAAACGGCGCUUUCGAAUACAGAGCGCUAAUGACGGUACCGUAAGAAUAAGCACCGGCUAACUACGUGCCAGCAGCCGCGGUAAUA